RNAcentral lists this long non-coding RNA (369 nucleotides) under Lathyrus oleraceus (garden pea). RNAcentral's name for it is "Pisum sativum (pea) long non-coding RNA (PSAT_LNC001192)". Lineage: Eukaryota; Viridiplantae; Streptophyta; Magnoliopsida; Fabales; Fabaceae. The record is from RNAcentral.
AACACUAUCUGCUAUUGAAGUACUGCCAAAAAUAAAUGAACUGGGUUAAAAAUUUAAAAUAAAAUAAAAAAUAAAACAAACAUUUUCAUGGUUUUCGUAUUAUCUCUGUUAAAAACAAAUUAAGUUAAAUAAUAAAAAGAAUAAAUAAUAAAAAAGAAAUCAAGAACAUAUAAACAUUUUCUGAUUUUUGUAUUAAAAAACAAAAUAAAUCAAAUAGUAAAAAGAAAUAACAAAAAAAAGAAAAAAAAGGAAAUGGAAACAGCAGAAGCUCGUCUCCAUCGUCUUCCUCCCUCGCUCUCUCUUCUCUCCUCUCAGCUUACUCCCCCCAAAGCAAAACCAAACCCUACUAACAGUAACCAAACCUAAGUA